GCCUGUUCCUGCAGUGGCUCUUGUGGUGACAGAAGGCAGGCGCUUUGCCACUGAACUAAAUCCCCAGCCCCAAGACAACAAAUUUCUGAUUGCAUGGAGUAUUUAAAUCGAAGAUGUGGAAUUCUUUGGAGGUUUAUCUCCUGCACUGGAAGGAUGGAACUGAUGCCCUUUCAAGAAACUUUACGAUAAGGGAACUUGCCAUUCACAAAUCAUCAUCCCCAGACUGCAGGAUGGAGCCACCACCAGGGCUGGGAGCCUGUCUGUCUUCCAGAGUAGAACCCCAUCACUAGAGGAACAAGCAGAGGGUAAGAAGCAUGAAGAGUUUUUCCU
This 330-nucleotide long non-coding RNA is filed under the name Chinchilla lanigera (long-tailed chinchilla). RNAcentral's name for it is "lncRNA (ENSCLAG00000025891.1)". Lineage: Eukaryota; Metazoa; Chordata; Mammalia; Rodentia; Chinchillidae. The record is from RNAcentral.